CUGAUCUGCACAUCGCACCCAGUGAUUGGACGGGAGCGUUUCCAUUGAUGACAGCUGUCUGACUUCUGGGGCAACAUUAUCAGAGUGGAGUUCUUACUUGGCGGCCAUUUCUAUCAGAGCGGGCUCGUAGCCACUGGACCAGCGGAUCUCACUGCCCCAGCCUGCAGAAACAGAGACCAGCAGUCACGCAGUGACACAGACGCCAAAGAUCAGAGUGAGCAGGAGCCAGCGAAACUUCAUGUCCUCUACCUUCGUGGAACUGCAGCGACGGCAGGAGAGACAAGUGAGACAAAAGUCUUCAAUCAGGACUCACACCUUAAAACAAGAUCAACCAGAACAAAAACAAGAGUCUCAGAGGUUAAUGUAGUACAUAUGGAAUCUGUGCUGCAGCUGCAGACGUGUCCGUCCAAUUUGAUUGGUUGAUAUGAGAAUCAGAAUCAGAAUCAGGAACAUGUUUAAAGCCAGGUAUGAGGAAUUUGUUGUGGCAUACAUGAGGCUGAUCGGAGUAAAAGUACAGUAUUUAAUACUAUUAUUUGUUUGGGUAAUUUCCUAAAUGCAGUAUUAAUAAAAUAGACAACAUACUGAACCAUAUAUUUUUUUAAAUCUUCAAAAAAUAGCCUAAAAAUCUUUUUCUGACAUAAUAACCAACAUUUCCUAUUUUUACUACAAAUAGGUUAAAAAAAUCAGCAGGUAUUUGUGUUGUUUGAUUUCACAGAGUGA
Long non-coding RNA from Cynoglossus semilaevis (tongue sole), 720 nucleotides. RefSeq lists it as uncharacterized. The record is from RefSeq and is a predicted model, not a curated record. Lineage: Eukaryota; Metazoa; Chordata; Actinopteri; Pleuronectiformes; Cynoglossidae. The transcript is spliced from 3 exons.